RNAcentral lists this ribosomal RNA (689 nucleotides) under uncultured bacterium. RNAcentral's name for it is "bacterial SSU rRNA". It matches the Rfam family "Bacterial small subunit ribosomal RNA", at positions 74 to 740 of the family's 1533-position model. The record is from RNAcentral.
UUUAUUUCGGUAGAAUUCUUAGUGGCGAACGGGUGAGUAACGCGUAGGCAACCUGCCCUUUAGACGGGGACAACAUUCCGAAAGGAGUGCUAAUACCGGAUGUGAUCAUCGUGCCGCAUGGCAGGAUGAAGAAAGAUGGCCUCUACAAGUAAGCUAUCGCUAAAGGAUGGGCCUGCGUCUGAUUAGCUAGUUGGUAGUGUAACGGACUACCAAGGCGAUGAUCAGUAGCCGGUCUGAGAGGAUUAACGGCCACAUUGGGACUGAGACACGGCCCAAACUCCUACGGGAGGCAGCAGUGGGGAAUCUUCCGCAAUGGACGAAAGUCUGACGGAGCAACGCCGCGUGAGUGAUGAAGGAUUUCGGUCUGUAAAGCUCUGUUGUUUAUGACGAACGUGCAGUGUGUGAACAAUGCAUUGCAAUGACGGUAGUAAACGAGGAAGCCACGGCUAACUACGUGCCAGCAGCCGCGGUAAUACGUAGGUGGCGAGCGUUGUCCGGAAUUAUUGGGCGUAAAGAGCAUGUAGGCGGCUUAAUAAGUCGAGCGUGAAAAUGCGGGGCUCAACCCCGUAUGGCGCUGGAAACUGUUAGGCUUGAGUGCAGGAGAGGAAAGGGGAAUUCCCAGUGUAGCGGUGAAAUGCGUAGAUAUUGGGAGGAACACCAGUGGCGAAGGCGCCUUUCUGGACUGUGUC